UCCCUUGUAGCUCAGCUGCUAUAGAAUCUGCCUGCAAUGCAGGAGACCCUGGUUCAAUUCCUGGGUUGGGAA
Bos taurus (domestic cattle) is the source of this 72-nucleotide non-coding RNA. Lineage: Eukaryota; Metazoa; Chordata; Mammalia; Artiodactyla; Bovidae. The record is from Rfam.